RNAcentral lists this long non-coding RNA (1869 nucleotides) under Gouania willdenowi (blunt-snouted clingfish). Its description in RNAcentral is "lncRNA (ENSGWIG00000023646.1)". Lineage: Eukaryota; Metazoa; Chordata; Actinopteri; Blenniiformes; Gobiesocidae. The record is from RNAcentral.
GUUUGCGUGCGACAAGUAGUAGUGCACCGCACAGAAUAAAACAUCUGGCUUAUUUUUAAAAUAUCAUUACUCUGUGUUCAAGGCGGAUCCCAUUUCCAUUCAUAAAUCCGGUGUGACGGAGGAAAGGAAAUUAUUCUGAACAUGAAGAGAUCAAAAGAGGAUGGAAAUAUUACAGAGCCAGAACAACAACACAAACGGCGUAAGAUUAAUCUGCUGACGACUGUCCCAUAUGUAGAGAGAGAUACAGAUGAGAGUGGAGGAAAAAAGAAAAACAGUGACUCUGCAAAGCACGAUUUCUGUAUGGACAACAACAACUUAGCUCUUUCUGCAGAACUUACGGAGGCUAAGAACCAGAACGUCUUACUGUCUGCAGAACUUAUGAAGGCUAAAAGCCAAAACAACAUGCUGUGGGCAGAACUUAUGGAGGCUAAGAACCAAAACAACUUGCUGAUUGCAGCAUUUAUGGGAUCCAAUGACCCAAACAACAUGCUGUUCACAGAACUUGGUGAGACAGUGGACCAGAACAUUGUGCUGUCUGCAGACCUUCUGGAGGCUGAGAACCAGAAUGAGAUGCUCUGUGCAGAAAUAAUGGAGUCUAAGAACCUGGAAAUCAUGCUGGCUGCAGAACUUGAGGAGGCUAUAAACCAGAACAACAUGCAGGCUGCAGAACUUGAGGAGGCUAUAAACCAGAACAACAUGCAGGCUGCAGAACUUGAGGAGGCUAUAAACCAGAACAACAUGCAGGUUGCAGAACUUGUGAAGGCUGAGAACCAGAACAACAUAUUGUCUGCAGAACUUAUGGAGUCUCAGAACCUGAUUGAAACUCUGUGUGCAAAACCAUUAGAGCUGGAGAACCAAAACCACACGCUGUCUGAAGAACUUAUGGAGUAUAAGAAGAUGUAUGACACGCUGUCUGCAGAACUUAUGGAGUCUAAGAGCCAAAACCACACGCUGUCUGCAGAACUUAUAGAGUCGAACAACCAAAACCACACGCUGUCUGCAGAACUUAUGGAGUCCAAGAGCCAAAACCACACGCUGUCUGCAGAACUUAUAGAGUCGAACAACCAAAACCACACGCUCUCUGCAGAACUUAUGGAGUAUAAGAAGAUGUAUGACAUGCUGCCUCCAGAACCUUUGGAGUCAGAGAACCAAAACCACAUGCUGUCUGAAGAACUUAUGGAGUAUAAGAAGAUGUAUGACACGCUGUCUGCAGAACUUAUGGAGUCUAAGAGCCAAAACCACACGCUGUCUGCAGAACUUAUAGAGUCAAACAACCAAAAUCACACGCUCUCUGCAGAACUUAUGGAGUAUAAGAAGGUGUAUGACACGCUGUCUGCAGAACUUAUGGAGUAUAAGAAGGUGUAUGACAUGCUGCCUCCAGAACCUUUGGAGUCAGAGAACCAAAACCACAUGCUGUCUGAAGAACUUAUGGAGUAUAAGAAGAUGUAUGACACGCUGUCUGCAGAACUUAUGGAGUCUAAGAGCCAAAACCACACGCUGUCUGCAGAACUUAUAGAGUCAAACAACCAAAAUCACACGCUCUCUGCAGAACUUAUGGAGUAUAAGAAGGUGUAUGACACGCUGUCUGCAGAACUUAUGGAGUAUAAGAAGGUGUAUGACACGCUGUCUGCAGAAUUAUGGAGUCUAAGGGCCAAAACCACUGGCUGUCUGCAGAACUUAUAGAGUCUAACAACCAAAAUCACAUGCUCUCUGCAGAACUUAUGGAGUCAAAGAACUAAAACUGCACGCUGUCUGCAGAACUCAUGGAGGCUAAGAACCAGCUGAACAUGCUGUCUACACAACUUCACUCAGUUGGGAACAGUUCUGUGCUCACUGCACAACACGAUCAGUUAUGUUCCCAUUGCAUCA